AUGGAAGUAUUUGGUGAUCGGGAUGAGCCGACCGAUCCUGAAUACAUAGAGGUGGAUCCGACCGGGCGGUACAUGCGCUACAAUGAGGUGUUGGGGAGAGGAGCUGUCAAGACUGUUUACAAGGCAUUUGAUGAGGCCGAAGGUAUUGAAGUUGCAUGGAAUCAAGUGAGCAUAGAUGAGCUGAUGCAGUGUCCAGAUAACCUUGAGAGGCUCUACGCGGAAGUUCAUCUACUGAAAUCUCUCAAGCAUGAAAAUGUAAUGAAGUUCUACAAUUAUUGGGUCGAUGAUCGAAAGAAGACAAUCAAUGUUAUUACUGAACUGUUUACAUCUGGCAGUCUUAGGCAUUACCGACGGAAACAUCCACGCGUUGAUUUGAAAGCAAUAAAGAAUUGGGCAAGACAGAUUCUUCAUGGAUUAGAUUACUUGCACAGCCACCAACCUCCGGUUAUCCACAGAGACCUGAAGUGUGAUAAUAUUUUUGUUAAUGGCAAUCAUGGACAAGUUAAGAUUGGAGAUCUUGGACUAGCUACAAUUAUGCUAACGCCUAAAGCAAGAAGUGUUAUUGGUACUCCUGAAUUCAUGGCACCUGAGCUAUAUGAUGAGAAUUACGAUGAACUGGUGGAUAUUUACUCCUUCGGUAUGUGCAUGUUGGAAAUGUUCACUCUUGAAUAUCCAUACAAUGAAUGCAAAAAUGCAGCUCAGAUUUUUAAAAAAGUAUCCAAGGGUGUCAAACCGGCUGCACUGUCCAAAAUUGUAAAUGCUGAAGUUAAGAAUUUCAUUGAGAAAUGUUUAGUUCCUGCUUCUGAGAGGCUGUCCGCGAAAGAACUAUUGCAAGAUCCAUUUCUUUGCCCCAAUAAUGCAAAUGGUUUUGCUAGCAUUACGGUUCCAUCAUCAAUUCCCAAAGCAGUACGGAUCUCUCCGGAAUCUUUGCACAUGGACGUUGAUACUCAUGAAUCUAUGUGUGCUAGCUCAGGCGAGAAAAAUGUCGUUGGGUCUCCACAUAAUUCCGUGUUGGAGUUCACGAGAACUAACAGAAAUACGGAACUCAAUCUAAAGGGCGAGAAAGUUGAUGAUAGUUCAGUCUCACUGGUUCUACGGAUUGCUGAUUUGUGUGGUCAAGCAAGAAAUAUCCAUUUCCUCUUCUACCUCGAAUCUGACACAGCUAUGUCUGUUGCUGCGGAAAUGGUUGAACAGUUGGAGCUAGCAGACUGCGAUGUUACUUUCAUUGCUGAUUUUAUUGACCUUCUGAUAGUCAAUCUUGUUCCUGGUCGGAAACUGGCAAAUGAUGCAGCGAUGAGUCCAUAUGUGGAAUCUAAAACGUGUGGAAGUGAGCAAGUAACUAUUUCCCAGAAGAACCCAUUAGAGAUGCCACCUGAUUUUGUGUUAGUUCAAAGUACAAUGCAUCCUAAAGAUAUCAGUGCAUCGCCGAAUAAAUAUCUUGAAUCUGUCUUAAGUGCAACUAACCUAGAGGGGCCAAAGUGCUCUGAGGGAUCGGACUUUUCUGCGCAGCUUGCUGGGAGUUCUGAAAGUCCGAGCUACGAUGGCACUGGUGACUGUGGGACUAUGUACUGUGGUGGGUACAAAGAGGGAAUCCACAAACUAGACUGCAACCAUGUUCUAGGUGAUGGGUCAAGGAACAUUUCGAUUUUCCAUAUAGAUGAAGCAUCACCCCCUUCGGAGCUGGUGAGUGGUUGCUCGUCAAUUUCCAUUACCGAUAGUCAAGAUGUGCUGAAUGGGGAGCUUGAUUUGAUUGAAGUUGAGUACAAAGAUUGGUUUGAUGAAUUAGCAAGGAUGCGGGAAGAAGCUAUGGAAGGAGGACAGGAGAAGUGGUUACAAUAUAAUGAUGUUUAA
RNAcentral lists this ribosomal RNA (1851 nucleotides) under Triticum aestivum (bread wheat). RNAcentral describes it as "partial small subunit ribosomal RNA". The record is from RNAcentral. Lineage: Eukaryota; Viridiplantae; Streptophyta; Magnoliopsida; Poales; Poaceae.